AUGCAUGGACGCAGUUCUGGCCCUGUUGCGGCUCCAGGGCAUUCGUGUAUUAAAUUACCUGAACGAUUGGCUGGUGUUAGCACAAUCGCAGACUCAAGCACACUCUCAUCGGGAUCUUGUGCUGAAUCAUCUAAACAGCCUGGGCUUACGUACGAAUUUCCAAAAGAGUGUUUUAAUUCCCUCUCAGCGCAUAACCUUUCUGGGAAUAGACUUGGACUCUCGCGCGAUGACGGCAAGAUUGUCUCUCCCGUGCGUUCAGUUUCUCACGUCAUGCCUGUGCCACUUCAGAGUAGGUCGCUCAGUGAAGGUGAGUUUGUGCCUCAAACUUUUGGGGGUAAUGGCAUCAGCAUCCCCUGUAAACUGUCUGGGCUUGCUUCACAUGCGCCCAUUUCAGUGGUGGACGAAAAGCCAAAAGAUUUCACCCCGUUGUUUCCCGCAUCGGAUGAUUUCGGUGACACGGAGGUGUGUUAUGUCAAUAAAACUUUGCAUGUCAGCCAGAUUCCUUCGAACUGGAGUUCGGUUGGGGAUGUGUGUUUGCCGCGAGACUGUCAUGACGGACGCGUCUUUGACAGGUCGGGGAGCUGUUUGUCAAGGACGCCCAGCUCAUGGAUUAAGGACGGUGACACUACGUGGCUGGCAUAUAAACAGGUUGGAAUUGCUGGCAGUUUUUCUAGCUCUCCAGUAUUUCUUGAGUCUGCUGAUCAGCCGUCAUGUGUUAAUCAGAUCAGACAACAUAUUGGUUGUGUCGUAUCUGAAUCAUCAAGGAGGAUUACGCUCUCGCCCCCUGUGCAGGCUGGCAAGGAAUAUUCUUCUUUGGUCUCAGAACAGAUUUCUGUCGAUCCGAGUGGUUCAUGUUCCCGGGCACUUGAACUUCGGAGCGGAUUUGCUCUCGAGACAGAGACUGGAGGAGGGGGAAUGGAGGUUGCACCCCCAGAUGGUGAGCCUUAUAUGGUGAGUGUUUGGAGAAGCGGAAGUGGACUUAUUCGCGUCGAGCAUGACUACGCAUUGCCCACUAUGGUUCUCCCUAUGCCCUCCAUCGCCCCUAGGCUUGGAUGCGUUAGCACACGAUUGGCCCUGGACCAGCUUAUAUGCUUUUCCUCCAAUUCGACUAAUUCCAGCGGUGUUAUCCAGGAUACGGCUGGACAGAGUGGAAUAGCUGCUGUUGGUGGCUCUGUGGUGGCCCACGCAGCUGUGGUUUGUGGAUCUGGUCAAUCUGCUAGCGGGCUCUCCAUGGGAGAUUACCCUCAGACAGGACUUACUAUCGCAAGCAAGAGUAAUGAUUUGGCAUCCAAGGCCAGACCUAUGGAAGCUGUGGGCGUGGCCUCUGAGCAGAGUGAGUUAAUAUUUCCCGGUCUCUCAGUUGAAACUACUGAGACUAUAAUGAACUCUAGGGCAGCUUCUACGAGACGCUUAUAUGCUUUUAAAUGGAAACUGCUUACUGCCUGGUGUGGAAUUCGUAAUAUGGAUCCAGUUUAUUACCCCGUGGUUUCAGUACUGGAGUUUCUUCAAGACUGUUUUUCAGAUGGAGUAACACCAGCCACUCUUGUGUAUGUGGCAGCUAUUUCAGCUAACCACGUAUAUAUAGAUGGUACUUCAGUGGGCCGUUAUCCGCUGGUCUCUCGCUUUAUGCAGUAA
Molecule: long non-coding RNA, 1635 nt
Organism: Cyprinus carpio (common carp)
Lineage: Eukaryota; Metazoa; Chordata; Actinopteri; Cypriniformes; Cyprinidae
Source: Ensembl